GGAAAUUUCUCUUUCACCCACACACCCUUCACAUUUCAUUUGUCUUCACUCACUCUCAACACUAAGUUCUCUCUCUAUCCACUUCUCUCUUCCUCUGUCUAAUUCAUCCAGAUCUGAAAAGAUUCAUUUCUUAGGCAAAGUUCCUGAGGAAAAGGAGAUACAAGCCCUAAUUUCAUCUGAUGGAGGAUAGAAGGAAGCAUAUUGUGCUGCUAAUGGCUAGAAUAUGUUAUGUUCGGGAGGAAAUCACAUUAACGGCAAAGUUCGAUGCAAGCAUGAAUUUUUACUGCCAUUAUAGACAUCUUGGACAAAGCUAAAUCCAUGCAGGAGAUACUCAACAUGUCCCUAUUAUUGGGAAAGAUCCUGUAAAAAAUUCAGCAGAAAGAUUGUGCAAUUGAUGCAAAACCUGCAUUUGUCAUGCUCAAGUCGUUAGACGAAAUGUGAACCCGAAGAUAAAUUGAAAAGACACGAAGUUGCAGAGAAAUUGAAAAGACACGAAGUUGCAGAGAAUGUAUUGCAAGAAAAAUGUUUGACAAGCAAAAGAUGGGGAUAAAAUUGAAAGCCGAGUUUGAUAAUUGAAAGAGUGAGAUUAAGAUAAAGAGAAAAAAAAAUCAGAUUCAACAAUAGAAAGAAUAUGAUAUGAUUUAUUCUUGUUUGUGCUUAUGUCGUCAUUUUCUCUUGUAAAGUAAAACUUAUCCAAUUGAAGGAUGAAAUAUUGCAAUUGACAUAAGAAAUUGUGUAGUAUUUUAAAGUUAGGUUUAGGUGACUAACUGAAAGGCCGAAGUAUCUUUAAUAUUUUAAUUUGAAUGUACGUAAUUGUCCUUUGUACUUAAGUAUGUAAUGAAUUGUCACUAUGAUUGGUUGUUUUGUCCAUUUGUCUUAGUCCUUAGGUCGUUGGCCAUCAUUUAUUUGAGUUGUAGCGGAACACAAUGUGAAGAACAUAAUUGAGCAAAAAUUGUUGAGUAAAAAAUGUAGUUCUAUUUCCAUGUUAAUAAAUAGUUAUUACAUUAAUGAAAUAGCAUAAAAAAAAAAAAAAAAAAAAACCGGAAAGCAACAACUAAAUUAAACUAAAAUGGGCAGUUUUUGUGAAAAACUAGCUUAAAUUGCAGAAAACAAUAGUCGCACCAAACUUCGCCAAAAAACAACUCUCAAAUCGAUCCGAAUCUCAUCGAAAUCUCACCAAAACUUGUGGACAAGUUAAAAUCAUCACACGAACCUUCUCGAGCUUUCAAAACAUCGAUACAAAAUUGUCUUGGCCCGAUUUUGACCGUGGUCAACUCCAAAUCAUCUCAAAAGCUAAUUUUCC
This is a long non-coding RNA of Lycium barbarum (goji berry), 1303 nucleotides long. RefSeq lists it as uncharacterized. The record is from RefSeq and is a predicted model, not a curated record. The transcript is spliced from 3 exons. Lineage: Eukaryota; Viridiplantae; Streptophyta; Magnoliopsida; Solanales; Solanaceae.